CUACGGGCGGCUCCAGUGAGGAAUAUUGGUCAAUGGGCGCGAGCCUGAACCAGCCAUCCCGCGUGCAGGAUGACGGCCCUAUGGGUUGUAAACUGCUUUUCUAUGCCAAGAAACCUGAUUACGUGUAAUCAGUUGCCGGUAGCAUAGGAAUAAGCAUCGGCUAACUCCGUGCCAGCAGCCGCGGUAAUACGGAGGAUGCAAGCGUUAUCCGGAUUCAUUGGGUUUAAAGGGUGCGCAGGUGGGCUUGUAAGUCAGUGGUGAAAUGCUGCCGCUUAACGGUAGAACUGCCAUUGAUACUGCGAGUCUUGAGUAUGGUUGAGGUAGGCGGAAUGUGUUGUGUAGCGGUGAAAUGCAUAGAUAUGACACAGAACGCCGAUUGCGAAGGCAGCUUACUAAGCCAUUAUUGACGCUGAGGCACGAAAGCGUGGGGAGCGAACAGGAUUAGAUACCCCAGUAGUC
RNAcentral lists this ribosomal RNA (459 nucleotides) under uncultured bacterium. Its description in RNAcentral is "partial 16S ribosomal RNA". It matches the Rfam family "Bacterial small subunit ribosomal RNA", at positions 339 to 795 of the family's 1533-position model. The record is from RNAcentral.